Long non-coding RNA from Symphalangus syndactylus (siamang), 6161 nucleotides. RefSeq lists it as uncharacterized. The record is from RefSeq and is a predicted model, not a curated record. NCBI's taxonomy places the organism in Eukaryota, Metazoa, Chordata, Mammalia, Primates, Hylobatidae.
UGCGAGUUCUCUGUGGGCAGCGGCUGGCGGCCCCCGCCUUCCAGAGUGUCAGAUGGAGGCGCGAGGGGGCCCGCAGGCCCUCGCGGGGGGACUCGAGAGUGUGCCUUGGGCAUCGUGGGGCCACGCAAGGAGUAAGGGAAAACUGGACUGCGCCGGGGCGUCUUAGAAAUCAGAGCUGGAAGUUUCAUCCACCAGGGUGAAUGGCAAGCUACAGAAUAGAUAACAGCAGAAAGCAAAGCAACUGGCUUGACAGUGUUAAGUUGCUGGUGUUGGAUUUUCUUGGAGUUAAUGUUUCUCCUUUUUUGUGUGUGUGGUUUAAGCCAGCAGCCACUGGGUCUCUCCCUCCCCAUGUAAUUUUUUAUUUUAAUUGAGAUGGAGUCUUACUCUGUUGCCCAGGCUAGAGUGCAGUAGCGCAAUCUCGGCUCACUGCAACCUCCGCCUCCCAAAUUCAAGCGAUUCUCCUGCCUCAGCCUCCCAAGUAGCUGGGAUUACAGGCGCGCGCCAUCACGCGCGGCUAAUUUUUUUGUAUUUUUAGUAGAGACAGGGGUUUCGCCAGUUGCCCAGGCUGGUCUCCACUCCUGAGGUGAUCAGCCCUUUUCGGCCUCCCAAAGUGCUGGGAUUACAGGCGUGAGCCACCGCGGCCCGGCCCCUCCCCAUGUAAUUUGAUUGCAUUCCAGAGAAGGCAUACUUUCUUCCUGGGCUGCUUAGGCACCCAGCAACCACUAAACCAACUUUCUGAGUCCCACGUCAUUUACAAACAAAACCUACAUCUUCAAAACAAAACAAAAAAAACAAAAGCUGGGGGACUGGGAAAGCAGAUGUUUUAAUUAGCUCUUUUUGGAGUUCCUCCUUCUCCCCACUCCUUCCUCUUCACAACAUCCCAUCUCCAUGCCUUGCCUGCCUUUGGAAAAAGGGGAAGAAGGAAUGUGAGGUACUUAUUAUUAAUAAGUAAAUUUCUGGAAAGAAAGAAAUUGCUCCUAGCUUGGGUGGCUAUUUAGUGAAGUUACUUGCCAUUGCAGAUUUUUUUUUUUCUUUUUUAGCAUUCUGUUCUCUGAGGUUUAGGGCUGUCUGGGUGUGUUGAUGAUUCAAAAGUAAUUACAGUAGGGGAAGUAGAACAAAGUUGCUGAAAGCAUUGAUGGUAAAAGCACCAAAAUUGGAUCAUCUUCCCAGACAGAUGGGUGAAAUGGCUUUCUGGUACAGCAAGGACAGGAUUGUGUGUAACAUCAAAAAGAAAUGUUAAUAUCAGCUUGGCAAGAAUGGCUGUUUAUUGCAGCUCUAUGUGAGAUCGUCACCCCAUUGCUGAGAGGUUGUGACCUUGGCUUUGGGAUUAGAUGGGGAAAAGCCAAGGAAACAAGACCCACACUGUAACUUCCCAACCUGAAAUGAGACCUGGUGGAGGCAGCCUCUUCCGGAGCUCUCAGUGACCCACACGCCUUUUGGAGGAAUCAGAGAUUUUUUUGUUUUCCAUGAAUCCUGAUGCCCCUUCCUCUCGAUGAUGCCUUGGAUUACCUUCUCACAUGCCGAACUGGACAGGUUCUGAUAGCUAAUCGCAAGGAUUCUUCUGAGAAACUGACCAUCCCUGAAAAUUACGAUGUGGCAAGUUUUCAGGAUGGCUAGCUCUUUUGUUAUCCGCUUAAGGGAGAAGUUCUGCCUUAUUCCCUCAAGAAGUUGUUCAGACACCCUUCACUGUAGAUGUAGUCAAGCCUUUAACUUGAAAAGCUUAGACAUGAAUCUUGCUGGAGCUUCCUUCCAUAGCUUGCUAUGCGGCGGGGCGGGAAGCCUGCAUGUUUAUAGCUGGCUCCUCCUCCUGCCCUGCUGGUGCCUCUCACCUUCCUUUGCCUACCCUGGGUCUUGGCCUCUUUGUGCUCUCACAGUGACUGCUGAGGCUCCCUCCUGCAUCUCCUUUGGAGUUUUUCCCCCAUCUUCGGGUAAGGGUUGGAGCCUGCGUGGUGACUUAAGCUUGUGUUUGCUCCUGCCCCCAAAAUCGCAGAGGAGUGCUGAUAAAUCAGCAACAAAGUUUGUAAAUGCCUAACAUCUGGGGCUGGGGGUUUGCAGUUGACUCGCAGAGCUUUCCACUGAGCAGCACUGGAAUUGCUGUGAAAAAUCCCUCGGAGGAUGGCAGAGGUGGGGGUGUUCCUUUGUCCUCUCUUCUCAACCGUAGAGGCCUUAAAGAAACUGGGUAGCAGAGAGGUGUCAUUUCAUCCUCUCCAUGGGACCUUCCAAAUCCCUUAUCAUGGAUUUUGUUAAAAUGGUAAAUACUAAAGAAGUCACAUUUCUAGCCAACGUGAAUUGAUGCUCCCAACCUAACUGUGGAGAAUUAAAGUGUUUGUAAAUAAGCAUGGGAAAGAAAGACAAUAUGUAAGUAUAUAUGGGAUUGUGUGUGUAUGUGUGUACAUAUCAAUACAUAGCUUCCCUUCCUCUUCUUCCAUUUUUUUUUUUUUUUUUUCUGCUAGCUUUUGGGUAAUUUGGGGUAUUGUCUUUUAUUCCCAUCAUGGUAAGUUUGGUUCUUAGAUUGGAUAAAGUGGGACCAGAGUCGGGGAUGGUGGUUAAAGUUUUCAUUGUUACAUCAAAGCAUUGUUUCUGGAGCAAAAGUGCUUCAGGCCUGGGUUCAGAUCCCUUCUUUUCCUGUUUGCAAUGAGACUUGAUAAAUCACUUUAGUAUUCUGAGUAACUUAUCUAUAAAAUAGUAAUAAUGAUAUCUAACCUUCUAUUAUACCUGGUACUUAGUAGGUGCUUGAUAAAUAUUAAUGUCCUCCUUUUUUACAUAGUGAGACUACUCUGUUCACCCUCCUCCAUUCCCCCAAGGACACAGUGUAAACAGCACGUAGUCUUGUGGGUUUUAUUUUUCAAGACAGGUGGCCGGGGGUCAGAGGGGACACUGACUGUGGGGGCUUGGGCCUUCUGGAAGGAUCAACCUCUGAGGCUUACAAACAGCCUUGCUGCACAGACCCCUUCUUUGUGUCAUGUGACUCGGGAUGUGAUUUGUUAUCUGCCUGGGCUUUGGGACUUUGGCCAUUCUGUCUGGUGCCUGGGCAUCUGAGGGUAGGAGAAGGCCAGGCAUGUGCCCCCUGUGAGUCUCUAAAGUCUAAACUUCUUUAGAGUUCUCAAAUAUGGAUAUAACGAAUAUUCAAGACAACUGUAUGCCACAUUCUCUCACUGUUUGCUUUGAGAGUUAAUGAAUUCAGAGAGAUUGAGGUUGCUUUUAGGUAAUUUUAAUAAGAGGGGGAAAAAGAAAAUGGGGUUUGAAGAGAAAUAGAUGUUCUUAAGCUAUUUGUUUGCUGCUGUGGUUUUGGGGUACAACAUUGAGAAAGUACAAAAGCAGCAUUGAUCUGCUUUUCAUCUUGUCUUAGUCUGGCCAGCUCUGGGAAGCAUGGAAUUAACUCGCUUGUCUUGGGGACGUGGGAUUGGGUGUGGCCCUGACAUACUUCCCUCACUCUUCUGAAAUGGAGGAGUAGUUCUGAACUGGGAUGCAGAUGAGCAUAUUAACAUGCAAAUCUUACAAAGAAACUACUAGAAAUUAAAGUGGAUAAGUCGACUUCUUAAAACUGGAAGCAUCUCUGGACCAGAGACCAAAUAGAAUGGAGUUUCUUUGUCUGGCAAAAUGCCCAGCCCUUCAGGUCUGAGUAUGCCUGCACCAGGAUCUGUUAUCACAGGGUACUCCAGUGAGCACCACAGCCUCCCUCUAGGCAAAAGUGUGUAUGCCCUGUUUUAUGUUAGCUAUUCUAGGAGUUAGCCUUGAACCUGAUCUCUGAGUGGAUCUGACAUUUCCAUUUCUCUCCUAGGUGCUCUAGUCCUCCCCCCACCCCCAUCCCCCCAAAUCAGACUUUGCUCUUACUCUCUUUUUAUUCUAUACCUUCUUUUAUUUCUUGCCACAGCUUUUUCCAUCCUCUUGAAUUUGCACUUUCCCACCUGCACUGUUCCCAGGGAACAAAUAUGGCCCCAAUCCCAGUGAGAGCCAAGCAGACUCAUGGAAAGGCUCAAAUUGCCUGCAGAAGGCUUCCUGGAUAGUAGAUCCCAGCUUUUCUGUUCCCGCAGCAGAAUAGAGCUAGGACCCCUCUUUCACAGGAACAGGGGCCUGCAGGUAGAGACAGCAGACCCAGUUUUUUGACUCAUGUCACAUAGAACUACCCCUAGAGAAGAAAACCUGAUCCUGGGCAUGAGUCCUCCAAGGCUUGCAGAAACACUGAGCCAGUCAGGUAUGGUGGGGAGAGGGGCCAAGGGGACUUUGGCUGAAUUGCCUUCUAGCCCUGGGUUAGUCAGAGACCCUGGCAACCUUUAGAUGUUGGCUCUCAGCCAGGGACACACAUCAGAGUCUCCUGUGACACUUGCUAAAAAUACAGACCCCCCACCUGGGAUCUACUGAAUCAGCGCAUGGGCAGGUGGGUCAGGCAUGCAUGUGUUCCAAAUGCUCCUUGUGGCUCUGACAGGUGCCCCUGGAGAAGAGCCAGGUAGGCACAGCAGCGGCCCCAACUGCCUGUUUUGCCCCGAGCAGGAAAAUUCCUCUUGGUGGUCCAGUUUUACUAUAUGUUAAAGAUCUGUGGCUCUUCAAGAGGAGUCCUAAAGUUUUCAGAGUAAAUGGACAGAGUAAUGAUCCAUCCUUGUUUGCCCAGUAAUGGUUACAGCCAAUAUUUAUAGGGUACUUGCCACAGGCAGGGUCCUAUUCCUAGCAUUUUAUAUCUAGUAUCUCACUUAGUUCUCCUGACAACUUUUCCUUUCCAAUAAGAGGAAUUAACCUCACUUUACAGAUAAGGAAAACUUUCACAGGGAGAGGGAAGGACUUUGCCCAAGGGUACAUGGCUAGUGUCAGCCAGACAUUUGCAUUGUCUGGCAUUUCACUUUUUAGAGUGCCUUUGAGUUCAUGCUUCAGGUGCAUGCUUCAGGUGAAGCCACCUUUUAAGGGACCAUGCAGGGAAACCUUUCCAGAUUGGCUUAUGAGGAAACUGAACCCCAGAGAAUUGUGCCCUAGCAAGACCACGGAACUGUUGAGAAGCUGAACUGGAGCAAGAGCUGGGUUUCCUGACUUCUAGAUCAGUGUUUCUCAAGUGGACUCACCUGUACGGCUUGGCGGGUCCUAGGUGAAGCUGAGGGGUGUGGGGGGAGCAGGAGAAUGUCCCUGGAGAUGGGUGCCUCCCUGGCAGACUACUUCCAUUCCUUCUGCAGAGGCCAGCCACAUGGAGGAGGAACUGGUUGGCCAGCCUCAAUGAGUGUGUAUGUGUGUGUGCGACUGAUUGGUUUUUUUGUGGAGUCCCGGAAAACAUCAUUUCCGGUUUGGCCCUGUUACUACCUCUGAAAUGAGGUAACCAUUGAAUGAGUUAAAAGAAAUCUGUAUGGUCCCUUUAAUGUGAACAUUUUGAGAUGGAGACUGAGGUAAGAGUAUGAAAGUACUCUGCACUUAAUGAGUAGCCGUUGACACUUACAAAGCUUUUGUUAGGACCAGGACACUCCCUGAGCCCCCUGGAAUUCUGACCCUGAGAAAUAGAUAGUCUUCCCAUUUUGCAGAUGAAGAAACUGAGGCCCAUGGCUGCACAUGGCAGAGCCUAGAUUCGAACUCAAGUCUGGGUGCCUUGUGUCACCACUGUAUUAUUCCCUAGUCAGAACAGAUACCCUUGCUUUCUCCUGUGUCCUCACUGCUUUCUGCAGCUCACGUUUGUAUCAACCGAAAGCAGGCCUACAUACCUGGAAGGGAAAGAAGCAGUGGAUUCUUCCUAGGCUUCAACUAUAUCUAAGCAUUCUAGGAGUCAAGGGCACAGCACCAAGACAGGAACUUGAAACACUCACUGAAAGGAUGUCUGUGUGUAGCCCCUCCCACAGGGGCUUAUUCUACACCUCCUUAGGGGGAAGGAGAGGUAACUCCAGGUGGGCAAGUGUGGUUACCAGUCCCUCACAAUGAUGCCUUUUCUCUGGCUGGUGCCACAUAGGGCAGAGUCUCCUGCUGAGGCAGGGGCAGGAUCCAGUCCUUUGAGUUUUCUUGGAUGGCAUCUCAGGCUUGUCCCUGCUGCCCUGUGGGCUAUUAGAUCACUUCCUGACAUCUCCCAAGAGCCCUCUGGAGUGGGGCUUGCAGAGCUGAGCCUGCAGCUGACUUGUCUAUGAGGAAAUGCCUCCUGUCUCUAGUCCAGGAUCUACUACUUCUGGAGGCCCAUCCCAACCCAGCACGUUUUUAAA